Molecule: ribosomal RNA, 199 nt
Filed under: Salmonella enterica
Lineage: Bacteria; Pseudomonadati; Pseudomonadota; Gammaproteobacteria; Enterobacterales; Enterobacteriaceae
Also listed under: 3 other names
Description: partial 23S ribosomal RNA
Rfam family: Bacterial large subunit ribosomal RNA
Source: RNAcentral
GGGUUGUGAGGUUAAGCGACUAAGCGUACACGGUGGAUGCCCUGGCAGUCAGAGGCGAUGAAGGGCGUGCUAAUCUGCGAUAAGCGCCGGUAAGGUGAUAUGAACCGUUAUAACCGGCGAUACCCGAAUGGGGAAACCCAGUGUGACUCGUCACACUAUCAUUAACUGAAUCCAUAGGUUAAUGAGGCGAACCGGGGGA